UACGUAGGCGGAAAAUUUAGUCAGUGGUGAAAUCCCGCAGCUUAACUGUGGAACUGUCAUUGAUACUGGUUUUCUUGAAUUUAGUUGAGGUAGGCGGAAUGUGUAAUGUAGCGGUGAAAUGCUUAGAUAUUACACAGAACACCGAUUGCGAAGGCAGCUUACUAAGCUAUGAUUGACGCUGAGGUACGAAAGCGUGGGGAGCGAACAGGAUUAGAUACCCUGGUAGUCC
RNAcentral lists this ribosomal RNA (229 nucleotides) under uncultured bacterium. Its description in RNAcentral is "partial 16S ribosomal RNA". It matches the Rfam family "Bacterial small subunit ribosomal RNA", at positions 568 to 796 of the family's 1533-position model. The record is from RNAcentral.